GUCCGGACUCAGAUUGUCGAAAAAUCUCGAAGAUGUGAUCGUGGCGUCCCGCGACCGCUUCCAGCUAUUCCAGGGGACCUGGACCCGGACCGUGAAUGAGGCCUGGGCGGCCCGCCCUGCUGCGGGGUGCCCCGCUUCACCGCCAUCCGUUACGAGGAGGACGCGCUGUUCUACAGCGACGCCGCCAGUCCUAGCACAGGGCCGCGGGCGCCGCCGGUGCAGCAGGAGCUGCGAGUUUUGGGAGAACCCAAGGAUCGUCUUGAGGUUGAACGUUUUCCAGUGAAACUGAGGGCGCCACUUGGCCACUACAACCGGAGCGAGGAUGGAUGCAACCGCUGCCUUGCGUGGGACUGACACAAGAUUUUUCAAGUCUCUCCCUUGUUACUUGAAGAACCUUUGAUUUCCUUUUCUACAAAGGACAUCUGUCUUCCUGUCACUCAGUUUACCCUGUUCCAAUGGUCAUCCUUUGUCUUCUUGGUGUGAUGUCUGACACAACUCAUGCCGUUCCUUCGCCUGUAUGGAAAUUUCUAGAACAGGUAAUGCAGACUGGAAUCUAGGAGAUGUGGGACUUGUUUUCAAACAUAGCAAGUAAUGUAACAUUAUCUAUUUCAUACUGAUCUGAACCUUAACGUGAUAAAUAUGUAUAAGAAAACAAAUGAUCCCCUAGAGUAUUUUAUUUGGUUAUUAAAGCAUAGGGAAGGAAGGAGUCAUCUGAACUAUCUUAGUGUCUUAGUGGUAAAGAGAUUGGGAAACACUGCUCUGGUGCUAUAAAAUAAUCAGCCAUAAGAAGGGUGUCCCAACCCUGUCUCCUGAAGGGAAUGCUUCAUGACUGGGCCUCAGAGAAAAGAGUUGCUUGCCUAGUCCAUUACCCAGGAAGAGAUGUACACACACCGUCUGACUGAGAGAAGAUGAAAAGCCCCGGGCCAGUUCACCAG
Molecule: long non-coding RNA, 935 nt
Filed under: Castor canadensis (American beaver)
Lineage: Eukaryota; Metazoa; Chordata; Mammalia; Rodentia; Castoridae
Description: lncRNA (ENSCCNG00000026859.1)
Source: RNAcentral